GGGGAGGACAUUCAGGGCCUGUGGGCGACUGUGCCGAUGUAAAUUGGGAUUGCCACAGUCCCCCCUUUAUCUCUGAACCUGGCUGGGUGUUUCUGUUCCCUCCCUUCCAGCAAUGCUAACACGCAUCAUCUGCCACGAGCUCAGGGGUAAAUGCCAAAAUUCAGGGUGUUUUUCUGAUGUUCAUUUUCUGCUGGAUCGUUGAGCUAAACCAGGUGACAGACAAACAAAAUCUAGCCCUAGGAUAAGGAUAGGGAUCAAAGAAGGACCAUACAAACCAAAAUUUUCAUGAACACUUUUGGCAGCAAAGGCUUGUAGGGAUCAAAUGGCAGAUCGAGGGUGAUGGGACCCAGAUAUUCAGGCAGACAAGGCAGGGUUGUUAUUAAAAGGCACAGCCAGAUGGGGAAGGGGUGAUUCGCAUGGGCUACCAUUUAAACACCUGUGUGGUGCAGCAUCCUGGGGACACGGGCAUGAGAAGGGAGGGAUGGAGAGGAGGUGGCUGGAAGAUGGAUGGUUUUUGUCUUGCAGGGGCAGCCUGGGGAGAAGGGGGAACCUGGAGAAAAGGGCACCAAAGGAGACAGGGGUGAAAAUGGUCAAAAGGGAGAACCAGGAAUUGGGUUUAGAGGUCCCGUUGGUCAGGCUGGGACACCUGGAUUUAAGGGUGAGCCAGGGUCCCCAGGACCUCCAGGAGCUCAGGGCAUCCAGGGCAUUCGUGGCAAUGCUGGCACCCCCGGGUCACAGGGGGACAGAGGGGCUCCAGGUCUGCCCGGGAUGCCAGGACAGAAGGGGGAGCGUGGGAAGAGAGGCCGGAAUGGAUUUGCUGGGCCCACAGGACCAUCAGGAUCCCCAGGAAAAGAGGGGAUUCCCGGGAUACCUGGACCCAAAGGCAACAAGGU
This 893-nucleotide long non-coding RNA is filed under the name Athene cunicularia (burrowing owl). RNAcentral describes it as "lncRNA (ENSACUG00000003530.1)". The record is from RNAcentral. Lineage: Eukaryota; Metazoa; Chordata; Aves; Strigiformes; Strigidae.